CAGAUCAACAAAAAGCCUAAUACAACCAAGGUUAUACUAUAUUUUGAUGAUAUAUGUAUGCAAUGCAAUCAUAUGGUUCUAUGGUGGUGAGAAGUUAUCAAGUGAGUCUGAGAAAAUUAUUGAUAAUCUUUACGAAUGCCCCUGGUAUGCAUGGAAUAAAAAAAAUAAAGACGUUUUUCUUCUGCUGAUGACGAAUAGCUUGAAACCGAUGACUUUUUCUUCUUAUGGAAUAUUAAAUUUACGAUACCCCAUCACGAUUCAGAUGGCGAAGAUAUGUUGGUCAAUUAUUACUUUGAUGAUAAACGUCAACAAUAAUAAAAACUGAAAUGGAUAAUUGUUAAUUGGCA
This is a long non-coding RNA of Leptinotarsa decemlineata (Colorado potato beetle), 347 nucleotides long. The record is from RefSeq and is a predicted model, not a curated record. Lineage: Eukaryota; Metazoa; Arthropoda; Insecta; Coleoptera; Chrysomelidae.